AGGACUGAGAUCCCAGAACAUGCCACACCAAGAAGACAUGUCCCAAGGGGCAGUGGAGCCACAGCCACCAGAAGGGACCUGGCCCUGUCGGACCUGCUGAAGCUAGCCGUGGAGUGCAGGGGCUUUGUUGGUCUGGCUGCUAACCAAAGGGUGGCUAAUGGGACCCUUUCCAGGGGCCUCUAGGGGAUUUCAGUGGGGGCUUGCUUCGAGGCUCUAUUACCACUGGACUGUUUACCAAGAGCCUCAGCCUGACAGAGAUGGGAAGAGACGAGUGAGCAUUUCUGACCCAACACCCCCACUGCAGAGUUGGGGAAACAUUUACCCAAGAUAGGAGGAAUAAAAAGGAAAAAAAUUGAAUUUAUUUCCAAAAAACAUACCAAGGUGGACAAGAUAGGAAACAAUACAAUUUAUAUUACAGUUUUA
Molecule: long non-coding RNA, 423 nt
Organism: Homo sapiens (human)
Lineage: Eukaryota; Metazoa; Chordata; Mammalia; Primates; Hominidae
Source: Ensembl